RNAcentral lists this ribosomal RNA (775 nucleotides) under uncultured Neocallimastigales. RNAcentral describes it as "partial large subunit ribosomal RNA". It matches the Rfam family "Eukaryotic large subunit ribosomal RNA", at positions 24 to 640 of the family's 3401-position model. The record is from RNAcentral. Lineage: Eukaryota; Fungi; Neocallimastigomycota; Neocallimastigomycetes; Neocallimastigales.
UUAUGUGAUCGUCUCUCGCAUAUCAAUAAGCGGAGGAAAAGAAACUAACAAGGAUUCCCCUAGUAACGGCGAGUGAAGCGGGAAGAGCUCAAAUUUGAAAUCUUAAAGGGUUUCCCUUUACGAAUUGUAGUUUAAAGAAGUGUUUUCUGUUGAGGUUUUGGUAAAAGUUCUUUGGAAUAGGACAUCAUAGAGGGUGAGAAUCCCGUAUUUGACCUUUACUUUCAACUUUGUGAUACACUUUCAAAGAGUCGGAUUGUUUGGGAACGCAGUCCAAAAUGGGUGGUAAAUUUCAUCUAAAGCUAAAUAUUGGCGAGAGACCGAUAGCGAACAAGUACCGUGAGGGAAAGAUGAAAAGAACUUUGAAAAGAGAGUUAAACAGUACGUGAAAUUGUCAAAAGGGAAGCGUUUGACACCAGUGUUGUUUUUCUGAAAAUCAAUUAAAGAACUGUUUAUGCUAAGCUGUUUAGACUUUAUCAGCUAACUGUUUAGUUUUGAGCUUUUCUUUAAUGCACUUUUCAGUUAACAAGUCAACAUCAAUUUCUUUUGCUGUAAAAAAGCUUGAGGAAGGUGGCUUGAGAUUCGUCUUAAGUGUUUAUAGCCUCUUGCCUAUGCAGUCGGAGAGAUUGAGGUCUGCAGCGUAGAUCCUUCGGGGCUAAAUGCAUUUGUGCUAAGUUAUAGCAUUUCAUAGACAACUUGUUGACUAUGAUUUGUCUUGUAGCUUACUCGCUUAUGUUAUUUUACCUACGCUUAGGAUGUUGAUAUGCAUGACUGAUAU